RNAcentral lists this ribosomal RNA (250 nucleotides) under uncultured prokaryote. RNAcentral describes it as "partial 16S ribosomal RNA". It matches the Rfam family "Bacterial small subunit ribosomal RNA", at positions 524 to 773 of the family's 1533-position model. The record is from RNAcentral.
UACGGGGGAUGCGAGCGUUGUCCGGAAUCAUUGGGCGUAAAGAGUUCGUAGGUGGUUUGUUAAGUUAGGUGUUAAAUACCGAGGCUCAACUUCGGAAUGGCACUUGAUACUGGCAGACUUGAAUGCUGUAGAGGUAAAGGGAAUUCCUGGUGUAGCGGUGAAAUGCGUAGAUAUCAGGAGGAACAUCGGUGGCGAAAGCGCUUUACUGGGCAGUAAUUGACACUGAGGAACGAAAGCCGGGGUAGCAAAU